GCGAAAUACCUCGUCACUUAAUUAGUGACCUGCAUGAACGGAGCUAUGAGGUUCUCACUGUCCCAAACUGUCUCUCAGCGAACCAACUGUAGUGGGAACGGUCACUAGAUAUCCAGCGGGGAAAGAAGACCCCUGUAGAGCUUCACUUUGGUCUAGUCUUGUAUAGUUCCUGCGGGGGUGUAGACUAGGUGGGAGAGCAAUCGAUUCUGAAAAACCACUACCCUGUUUGGAAUUAUGCUUACCUAUCACAAGGAAUAGGACUAGAUAGAAAGUUUGGCUGGGGCGGCACACCUUCGAAAGAGCAGCGAAGGUGUCCUAAGUUGAGCUCAGUGAGGACAGAAAUCUCACGUUGAGGAUAAGGCCAAAAGCUCAAUUUACUGUGCCUUUUUGUACUAGGAUCAGUUACGAAAGUAAGGCCUAACGAUCCCUAAAUAGCCUCAGGUGCGUGAGGAUUGGGGUGACAGACAAGUUACCUCCGGGACAACUGGCUUGUGGCUGCUAAGAGAUCAAAUCAACGCAGCUUUUUGAUUCUUCGAUGUCGGCUCUUCCUAUCCUAGUGAUGUACAAGUUGCUAAGGGUCGGAUUGUUCACCCGUAUUAGGGAUCGUGAGCUGGGUUUAGACCGUCGUGAGCCAGGUUUGUUUUAUCCUACUGGAUAUAGCAUCAUGAUAGUAGAUUGAUUUAGUACGAGAGGAACUGUUGAUUAUGGCCUCUGGUUAGCGAUUAUCGGAAACGGUAUGUCGCGCAGCUACGCCGUCUGGGAUAAUGGCUGAAAGCCUCUUAAGCCAGAAGCCCAUCUAGAAAGUGAUGCACGUGAUGUUGGACCGAUACGAAUAAUCAUACUCAAAAGG
RNAcentral lists this non-coding RNA (850 nucleotides) under Trichomonas vaginalis G3. RNAcentral describes it as "Eukaryotic large subunit ribosomal RNA". It matches the Rfam family "Eukaryotic large subunit ribosomal RNA", at positions 2282 to 3200 of the family's 3401-position model. Lineage: Eukaryota; Parabasalia; Trichomonadida; Trichomonadidae. The record is from Rfam by way of RNAcentral.